CGUUAUUACAAUACCACAUUAUAUUGUGUGUGAUACGUUACGUACUCGUUGAAACGCAAAAGCAGCGUAAGAAUGUUUUUUUAUAAAACGUUGUCUAUAGCCUCCAUCUGUGGCCUCCAUUAAUCUUUGCUGACCGUCCCCGUACAUUAUCGAUCGCAUCUCGCGUACUGCGCCCGUGGCUCACUCCCUGCAGAAUAAUGAAUGGGACGACGUCUAGUGAAACUUAUUUCUACGUUGGAAUUAAUGUUUUCCUCCACGAGUUCAUAAUUGCCUCAUUUUACGACAAUUUGUUUGUUUUUCUAUUUUUUAUGAUAAUAAGUGCACAGUUUAAUAUUGCGUUUUUGGCUAGAUUCGCGUUUUCUUAUUUGUAUUAAAAAUCAAUAAUUCACACCAAGGAUCAAGAGGAUUGGCGACACUGACUAUUUGGAACUGAUAAUUAUCCUGCCUGGGCGAGUGGCCCAAGCGUGAAUCGUUUGCUGAAUCGGAGUUCAUCGCACUACGCACUGAAUAUCUUCAUAAUUUGUAAGGACUAAUGACAAUGGUCCCUGCAUGACAAUUCUAUAACCAUAAGUGGCUUGAAGGGCCCAGAGCCGGGAAAAUAGAUAAAUACAUAAAAAUAAUAAGUCGCGGGCAAAAGUUUAUAAUUAUUAUAAAGAAGAAAGAUUUGUAUUUUUGUAUAAUAUUUAGAAGUAUUUCAUACAAAGGAUCUAGAGGACUGGCGACAUCGGCAAGUGAAAUCCUCUUGGUCCACGCAAGAUUCAAUUAUUCUACGCGUACGAAGUCACGGACAAUUGCCAGUAAUAUUUUAAAAGUGAAAUACUGUAUAUUGAACAUUUUCAUAAAGUGGAUCACCUACUUGGUCCAAGCAAGACUCAAUUAUUCAACGCGUACGAAGUCGCGGACAAAAGAGCGAGUAAUAUUUUAAAGGUGAAAUAUUGUGUGUUGAAUAUUUUCAUAAAGUGGAUCAUGUUUAUGAUCCACGCAAGACUCAAAUGUAUUAGGAUUACGAAAUAUAUUAAAUUAUUAUGUAA
This is a long non-coding RNA of Ostrinia furnacalis (Asian corn borer), 1031 nucleotides long. RefSeq lists it as uncharacterized. The record is from RefSeq and is a predicted model, not a curated record. NCBI's taxonomy places the organism in Eukaryota, Metazoa, Arthropoda, Insecta, Lepidoptera, Crambidae. The transcript has 2 exons.